UGCUCUGGACUAGAAAUGGAAGUUCUUCGUCCUUCCACAGCAAUGUUGCUCUUGGGUCUCUUAACAACAUGAGGUCUUGGAGGACGAACCUAUUACGUACACAUACACAGAGACACUGCAUCAGAUACUUCAAAAGCUGAUCGUGCAACAGACAUAAAUGGCAAAAUACGCCUAACUAUCAUUAUCUUAAAGGUAUCUUACAUUCACAAUCAGUUUUAAACUUCUAUGCUUCGACAAUGUUACAAAUUCAUCAGUUUGGAUGUAAAUUCAGAGUCCCACAAUUUGCAGAAGAGCAAAAACCCACAUGUUUUGAGUUGCAAAUGAAACAUAUAUGCUCGCCCCUGACCAUUAGCUAUUAGCCAGACAAUGAAAAUUUGCUCAAUUGUCCUGUUUAGCAUGGGGUAAUUUUCUGAUAAAAAGGCUUCCUAAAUGUAAGCUUCAUCUCAAAGAGUGAGUUGACAGAAUGAGACUGGCAAAGCCUGCACUGUACAUUAUACUGGGAGUUGUUGUUUGGCUCUGACAUCACAGUCCUUUUGUCUGCUUGUUCAUAGGAAGCCAGCUCCUCAAGUGAAUAAUUCUAUAAAGGUGAGUACUGAAAAAAAUUGUACUUGGAGCAAAUAUUAUAAAUGAAAAAAUGCUAAUUUUUCUUUAAAAAUAUGGUUCCUUCUGGUAGCUGAACAGAAAACCUUCGCAGACACAUUAUCAUGACAUCCCUGAGGUUAUACUAGUGUAUCUUUUGUUGUCUGCAAUAACACUCAAAGGUUUUCUGUGGAAGGUGAUGUGAUGUUGCUGCCAGUUGAAUUUUCCAUAUCACCUUCAUCAUCUUCCGAAGUUCAGAAGUCAAGCUUAAUUUACCCACAUGAAUUCCACAAGCAAACAAGCUAAACUUCAAGGAAAGGAAUAAGCACAUGUGAUCACUAAAUGGGCAAAAUUUACAGAUGUGCCUAUCUAUACUAACGAGUAAUCCUGCUGGUGAAUGUAUUCCUCUGAGCCAAACGCAGGAAUGAACACUUGCAGGGUCAGGGUGCACAACCAACUUUCCAGUUGUUCAUUGUUUUUUUUUUUUAGUACUAUCCAACCUGGAAUGGAGUCUGACUUGCUGAAUGCUGAAUGUUAACCAGCAGGAAUCCCCAAAGCCCUCAGCAAGUGUCUUGCAUACACAUGUUAGUGCUUAAAGUGAGAAGUACAGCCCGGAGUGAGGAGCGUGCAGGAACUCCUUCGAAUGCAGGAGCAGGCAACAGACGGCGCCGCUGGCCACCGCACGUGGCAGUGCAUCCUGUGGACAAAAGCCCAUCAGCCCAACAGAGGGAGCAGGAACUGGCAGCAGGAGUUGGGUUCUUCAGACAGAAGAAGAAAGCUUACACAAAUUACUGAAUUUCUCUCGAAAAAAGAUUCCAGAUUCAAAUUUCAGCAGUUUUUAACUUCUUACUAGCAUAGUCCUUAUUCUACAUUGACACACGUUCUCAUUCUACUACCCUCAUGCUGUCCAUAGUCAUCACCGGCCUACCCUUUUUCAGACCAUAUUUCAUGCCCUUCUUGCAUCUCAUCACACUUUCCCAUUAAGUCAUAAUUCACACCAAUUGGUUUAUUUGUCCUUACUCGUGUGCCAGGAGGAGUGCCAGAUUGCACACAUUUACUCAGCUCAGAUUUUUGACGUGGGUGAGGAAAAAAUGGCACUUGUCAUGGAGAGCUGAGGCCAAAAUUUUUUCCAUGUGAUGGCUUCCAAGUAUAUUUUCCAAGAAAGUAAGCAUGAAAUCAAAGAAAAAUAGAGAGAAAUGACCUGCUGGUGAGCUGAGGUGGCUAUUGUUAGCCCUCCUGCAUAGUUUCUUUUCUGCACCUCUUAUUAUGCAAUUCAGUCACUGACACCGAGUUGUAGUGCUGAGUAUCUCCCCACUUUACCUGCUCAGGCUGAGAGCAUAGCCUUAAAAUAUAUUUAGCUUUUGUUAUGUGACAUAGCAUACUUAUUUUUCAUUAUGUUUCAGAAGCAUAACGGACCAGCUGAAAAAAUCUGAAAUUUGCACUUUUCUAGUUAUUUUAAAGACAUCCACUUAUGACAUAGCUACUUAGACAAAUAUUUCAUGAAGCAGGAAAACAACAUGCAAUUAAAUUCUCUUUUUUUUUUCUCCUAAUGCCUCCUCUAUGUAUGCUUCAGUUUGCUUUAUUUUCACUUCUAGUUAUGUAAAUAUUCUGAACAUUUCUGCAUCACAAAAUUCUCUUAGGUGGGAUUUUUAAGUAACCUCCUAAAGCUGUGGCUAGCAGUGUCUUGAGCACCAUUUAUUUUCGAUGACUUUUAAAAUUCUAGACAAAAAUGUUUUGAUUGAUGUAAGAAUUACAAGGCAUCUCUUAAUGCUGUACAAAGAAGUUGAUAUUGUUUCUUCAGUAUUAGUUCAUAUCACCGAACACGUUGGUUUGAUUUGGGAAUCAGUUUCUCCCUCCCACAGCAAAAAACAGGCUAACUUUUCAGGAAGCACUGCAAGGCUGUAGCAUCAACAGUAUUAACUGAUAAAGCAGUGACAGCAUUACUAAAGUUUGUGAAUAGAAGCGUGACAAAGGCAGGCCCUUCAGAUAGCAGGACAGCCAGACAACGCAUUAGCUGAGGAUCACCUUGUAGUGAGGUGGUCAGUACACUGAUGAUAGGCACUGCGAGGACGGGUACAGCUGAACUUUGCUUACCCACACACACACGCGCACGGGAGGAAAAAUACAUCUGAGAAAGCUUGUGACAGGGUUCCUUAAUUAUCUACUUCAAAAUUGUUAGAUAAUAAAGCAAGUAUUUGGGAAGAGCAGAACGUGAUGCUUUUUGUUAAAAGACCUACCAGUAUUAGUACCUUUUUAAGUCUUGUAUGUCUUGUAUUAUGUAUUAAUUUUUGAAACGUUGAAGAGAUAAGAGAAGAAAAAUAAAACAAAUUUCCACAUUAACAGCAGUGUGUUCUCUCAAUUACAGAGGGACAGGGAGACAGUACAGCUUAAACAGUCAGUGACUUGAAGCACUGAAAUGAGCAUAGGCAAAGGGCAGUGAGGAGCAGCUGAGAUGGAGGUCCACCAAGAGGUAACAGUUAUUUGUCCUUUGCCAGAGCUCCAUUGUUAAUGCUGAUGUAAAUAUGUGUCACCAAAAUGGGACAAGCAAGUAUAUUUGAAUUAUAUGAAGACCAUAUUUACUGGAAAAUCCACUGAUUAGAAGUUAAUUUGUUAAUGCAGCAAAACACUCUGUUUCUGAAAGGUCAGUAGGGGAAGCUGUGUUGGAAUAUCAACUUAAUUACCUGUGCUGUAAGGAUGAAACAGCCCAGAGCUACACUGCUAAAAGCUGCUAAAUUGCUAUCCUAGGUAUGUCCCUAAAUAUGUAUACUAUAGUGGUUUUUUUCUUCAAAGAGAAGCAAUGUCUAAAUUAGCACUUUCUUAUCAGUAGCUGUUUACCAGCAUACUUUUUUACUCCAGAUAUUUUCUUAAUUGUUUUACUCUAAAUACUUCUGAAGCAACAAGACAGAGAAAAUUUGCAGGAAGCCAAUUUUAUGACUGUAGAUAUGGCACUGUUUUCUAAUUACAAGACAAGCAAUUUUAAGCUGUGAGAUGCUGGAGGAAGAAAAAAAAUCUUACAUUCACUUUUAGACUGUAAAAAUACUAUUUAAAAAUGAUACAUACCACAGAUCAUGAAUUACCUAUUAUAUAUCCCAGAAACUUUCACAGUACAGCAAUUUAGUUUUUUAGAAAACAUUACAAAAAGAUCAUUUUCGUACUGUGAAGUACGAGUUCGUGAGCAGAAUAUUAUCUCAAACUAAUGGAUGUCAGUUGAGAUUUUUUUAAGGUGGUAUUCAAAACAGAGCCUUUAUCAGUAAAUUAGAGGUGCUAUUUCAUAUGCAGCAACAAGUGCAACUAGAAAUAAAUGCAUAAAGGAAACCCAACUAGAUGAAAACUGGUUUGUCAGUUCAUACAGAAAGAAGUUUUUUUCAUUCUCAAGCUGGUAGUGAGGGGUGUUUCUAAUGAUUUCCAAAGCAAAGCCUUUCUAUUCAGACAUCUUAUUUUCUUCACAAAUUCAGGGCUGGUUUACAAACUGUUCGUACGUUUUAAAGACAAUGAGACAUGGGAUAAAGAUGCGCUAUCCUGAAUGUACCCAAGCCCAAAUACAUCAUGCUGCAAAGGAUUUGGAUCACUGACUUUGGAACAAUAUGCUGAACCUCAACACUCAAUGGAGAAAAAAAAGAGGGGGAGAGAAUAACAACACUGAAAAAUGUAUGGUACCUAAAAAGAUUCCGUAUAGAAAGCAGAUGGAAUCUAUGAGGCAGCUGUUUUAUUACCCAUUCAGGUCCCUGCACAGCACAUACACGACUUUUUACAUACUCCCAUAUGCACAGCUCACAAACUGGUGUGACAAGAACAGUGUAUACCUUACAGCAUAUAUUUUUAAUUUACACUCUAAAAUACUUCAACAGAAAUCUGCUGGGUCCUGUGAUAAAAAAAAAAAACUCCAUGUUUUAAGAGAUGUCUCAUUCUUUGAACUGUAUUUGUAGAUUGGGAAGGUAGCAUGAAUCUGGCAAAAACGUGGUAAUGCCUAUAGCUGUGCCAAGAAUUUAUGAAAGGGAAGAGAAUCUCACAGUUAAACCCUUUGAUUAGUCUAAUGAGAAAACAAGGACAAUCCCCUUGCCUUUCUAGCCAGGAAUCUUCCAUUACGUAACAUAGAAGCAUACAUUCAAAGAAGGAAGUAAAAGGAGCCUAUAAGCUCCUGGUUUCCCUAAUGGAUAACAAAGAGGCAUCUAAGUCACACCCAGUGUCCUGGGACACAGGCAAAGAUUCAUCCCAAGGUCACUGAGAAGAGACUCACACUUUACAGAAGGGAAAGAAGGGGUUUUCUGAAAACUUUCUGCUUCCUCUCUCAGAUGAGACCAAUUCUGUCCUUCCUAAUCAAAGGUUAAAAAAAAAAGUACAUCUAGACACAGAGCACUGAUAAAUCAUUCUCAUUUGGCAAUGCUGAUUAUAUAUACGUCACACUGUGCAAACAAUCCCAGAAUAUCUAACUUUCAAGAAUAUUAAAUAUAAUGUACAUCAUACACAGUUUGCUUUAAGUCUAGGAUUUGUAGGGUACCUGCCAGAUGUUGACAGGAAGGAUAUAAAGCAGUAGCAGUUAACUUGUAAUGGUAUCUGUGUCUUAAAGACUUGUCAAGACUUCCCAGCUCCAGUGACAGAGGAGUUCAUGUACAGCACAAAGAAGGAAUACAAAACCCAUGAAAGAUGAUAGCAAUGGAGUUUCAGAUUGUGACCACUGCAUUCUCCUCUUUCACUUAUCUGUUGUGCAGAUGAAAAUAAACCUUGCAUUCAGUUCUUCUAAAAUACUGUAAAAAUCCUAACUGUAUUAAACUGAUGAUUUUUCAGCACUUUGCAGUUUGAAAAUCCCUGAAAUUUUCCAAAGGAGGUAACUGUCAACAGCCUCUUAUUUAACUGGCACAGAUCCUAAGAAUCUGCAGAACACAGCUUGAAAACCACUGUAAAUUAAGCUACACGCAGUGAGCAUCUCUUCCCAUAGAAACACAUGCACAGAACACAAAAUAUUUUAACCAAAUCUAGAGUGGCUGAGGUGACUACGAAUCACUGCAGACAGUAAUAUAAUGUAAGUCAGGAGCAGGCUGGCAUUAAUACAGUUCCUAAUCACUCUCCUCUGUUUCUGUAGUGCUUUGCAAUGACUCUUCCUCUCUGAGCCUUCCUUACUGCGGUUUGCUUCAGCUCUUUGUCUAAAGGGGUAAUUUGCAACAAUUCACUAGCUUAAAUGCACAUGUCAUGCUUUUGUUAUUGAGAAAAUAUCGGAACAAAACCAAAGGCAUUUCUGCUUACCGACUGGACUAAAAUUUCUUUGAGAUACUCACACCCUACACAGACCACCACUGCCCAUUUCAUUUGCUCGCCCUGUCCUUAGGGCAACCUCUAGUGACUUGGCACCUUUUUUUUUUUUCUCGUAUUUCUUCUUUGCACCUAAUCUUUUGCACCAGAUUUUCUUCUCUCCCUGCAAUAAUGGCAGAAUCCCGCAUUGGCAGUCUCAGUGCCUCAAAUCCCAGAUGGAUAACUUGGUCAGCAUACAGGUAUGUGCAUGGUAAUGAGACAAAUUAACACCCAGAAAAUAGCAUACCCCAUGGACUCCACAUCACACAAUACACCUUAGCCUGAAAGCAGCUUAACUUUCAUUUGUGCACAAAUCCCGAGCACUGGCUAUAUUACUCCAUGAUGAGAGGACCAUGAAAGCAAACUCUGAAGACAUGCUGAACAGCACCGUACCCAUUCUGGAUUACCAGUAAAACAGCAAGGCGGUUUUUCAGAACUAUUCACAGAGAUGAAAUAGGGACGGGUUUUGAGAGAGCAUCUCAUUGAGCAGACUUUCAAAUUUCCAAAGUACUUCUUCCAAAAUUAAGUGUGAUUUGCAGUGGCUUCUUUUCAUUCUAUUUCUCAACAUACAUAGAUGGAGGCACAUGUUGCAAUAAAAAAGCCCAGACCCUAGGAAUAUAUUUAUCCCUACGUAUUAAAGUCUAUCCAUCUACUAUCUCAGCAGAGUUUAAAAUCACAGCUAAUAGGUUAACAACUGUUUUUCUUCCGCUUCAAAUGAAGAAUAUCAGAAAGCUGGGGGAAUAUUCGGCUUCCCAAUUUGUACUGACUGCUCGCUGCUACCUGCAAUGUCUGUUUGACAGGACUGACAUUUUGUACUGCUGUGAGAUGGGAAAACGUGUGACAUUUUUAUUCAUGGUGGCGUACGCCCUUGUAAUGAUCAGCCCUGGUCGAUGUGCUUACUGCAGCAGCCCCGAGCCCUCGGAGAACAAACAAGAAGUGGAGGUGCCAGCAGUUCGGCUGCCUUAUUAAACUCCACCAGGAUUCUAACGAAGAGCAACCGCUGGAAAAUCUCACUGUCAAAUCCUCAAGGACACUGUCAACAUGGAACUAACUACAUAUAUUUUUCAUUUAAAAUACUGGAAAAUACAGCAAUAUGAUUUUAAAUACAAAGAAAAAAAGUCACACUUUCCA
Numida meleagris (helmeted guineafowl) is the source of this 6996-nucleotide long non-coding RNA. RefSeq lists it as uncharacterized. The record is from RefSeq and is a predicted model, not a curated record. NCBI's taxonomy places the organism in Eukaryota, Metazoa, Chordata, Aves, Galliformes, Numididae. The transcript has 2 exons.